AAUCAACGCUGGCGGCGUGCCUAACACAUGCAAGUCGAACGCGAAAGUCCCGCAAGGGAUCAGUAGAGUGGCAAACGGGUGAGUAACGCGUGGGUGACCUGCCUUCGAGCGGGGGAUAACGUCCCGAAAGGGACGCUAAUACCGCAUAACAUCCUGCCUUUUAACAGGCGGAGAUCAAAGCUGGGGAUCGCAAGACCUAGCACUCGAUGAGGGGCCCGCGUCUGAUUAGCUAGUUGGUGAGGUAACGGCUCACCAAGGCGACGAUCAGUAUCCGGCCUGAGAGGGCGGACGGACACACUGGGACUGAGACACGGCCCAGACUCCUACGGGAGGCAGCAGUGGGGAAUUGUUCGCAAUGGGCGCAAGCCUGACGACGCAACGCCGCGUGGAGGAUGAAGACCUU
Molecule: ribosomal RNA, 403 nt
Filed under: uncultured bacterium
Lineage: Bacteria
Description: bacterial SSU rRNA
Rfam family: Bacterial small subunit ribosomal RNA
Source: RNAcentral